UGGGGAAUAUUGCACAAUGGGCGCAAGCCUGAUGCAGCAACGCCGCGUGAAGGAAGAAGGCCUUCGGGUCGUAAACUUCUGUCCAAAGGGAAGAACUCUGACGGUACCUUUGGAGGAAGCCCCGGCUAACUACGUGCCAGCAGCCGCGGUAAUACGUAGGGGGCAAGCGUUAUCCGGAAUUACUGGGCGUAAAGAGUACGUAGGUGGCCCUGUAAGCGUAGGGUUUAAGGCGACGGCCCAACCGUCGUUCGCCCUGUGAACUGCAGAGCUUGAGUGCUGGAGGGGAAGGCGGAAUUCCUAGUGUAGCGGUGAAAUGCGUAGAUAUUAGGAGGAACACCAGUGGCGAAGGCGGCCUUCUGGACAGUAACUGACACUGAGGUACGAAAGCGUGGGUAGCAAACAGG
Molecule: ribosomal RNA, 404 nt
Filed under: uncultured prokaryote
Also listed under: 1 other name
Description: bacterial SSU rRNA
Rfam family: Bacterial small subunit ribosomal RNA
Source: RNAcentral